This is a long non-coding RNA of Argentina anserina (silverweed cinquefoil), 302 nucleotides long. RefSeq lists it as uncharacterized. The record is from RefSeq and is a predicted model, not a curated record. The transcript has 3 exons. Lineage: Eukaryota; Viridiplantae; Streptophyta; Magnoliopsida; Rosales; Rosaceae.
AAGAAUUGAAGAGGGAGGUGCUACGAUCUGAGAGAAAAUAGUGUUUAGGACGUCUGGGUCUGCUCUCUGUUCGCAAAAAGCUAUGCCUCUUUCCUCUUCCUUCCAUUUUGAGCAUUGGUGUGUGAGAGAAGAAUUGGGGGUUUCUUUGGGUCGUCUGCAACUGCAUUCUAUUCUCCAAAAGCUCUCUGCCUCUGUCCUCUUCUCUCUAUUUGAGGUCUUAAUUUAGUUUCUUCCAAUUGCUGGAUUUGCUCCAGUGGUAUGGUUAUUGGAUCUUUAGAGCCGUAACAUACUUUCAUAAGAGG